UACGGAGGAUCCGAGCGUUAUCCGGAUUUAUUGGGUUUAAAGGGUGCGUAGGCGGCCUGUUAAGUCAGGGGUGAAAGACGGUAGCUCAACUAUCGCAGUGCCCUUGAUACUGAUGGGCUUGAAUGUACUAGAGGUAGGCGGAAUGUGACAAGUAGCGGUGAAAUGCAUAGAUAUGACACAGAACACCGAUUGCGAAGGCAGCUGACGAAACUGUAACUGACGCUGAGGCACGAAAGCGUGGGGAUCAAACAGG
RNAcentral lists this ribosomal RNA (253 nucleotides) under uncultured bacterium. Its description in RNAcentral is "partial 16S ribosomal RNA". It matches the Rfam family "Bacterial small subunit ribosomal RNA", at positions 524 to 776 of the family's 1533-position model. The record is from RNAcentral.